UUUAGCCCGUGGCCACUGAGAGAAGAAUAUAAGUUAACCUCUGUAGUGACCAUGGGGAAGUCCUGACCUUCCUUGCAGACUUGACCUCUGGAUAUGACAAGGUGGCUUCACUACAGAUCUACCAAUUAAUCCUGGAAACUAAAAACCAAAAACAAAUCAAAAAAAAAAAACAAACCAAAAAAACAACUUCACAGCAAGAAAGAUACAGAAUAUUUCCUGAGAAGUCAGAAGAACCUAAUGUAUUCUGGUGGGCAAAAGAAAAUAGGGUGGGGUUCUGUGUUCACUGAUACGGCCCUUUGCUUCCCUCGGCUCAUGGAAAGAAGUGCUGAAUCAGCGAAUAGAGUGAAGGAACGAUCAAGAGGAGAUGGCAGCUGCUGAUGUAACUCUCUAGGUCAUUAUCUCUCUUCCUCCUGCAAAAGCUGCAUGGCACUAAACUUACAGGAUCUAGAAGCAAACUACAAAAUAAGAAGAAAUUCCUCUGAAGACAAUGAAGAAACACUAGGCUGAUCUUACCAAUUUCUGAAAUAUACUCUGUAAAACCUCCACUGAUUCUAUGAAUCUCUUGCAAAAACAACCAGACCAGGACAAAGUUCAACAGAUACUGGUUAGUGUUUAGACGUAUCUAUGUCCACCAAGAACAAGGAGCCAUGAAUGGCACUAAUGCCAUGCUUCAGGUAAAUCUGUUAUAGUUUAGUCUUUGAUAGUCUCUGCCAAUGAUCUACCACUACUCUGUAUCAGUAAACUAAAUGUUUUACUAACAAAUGGGAAAAUAAAACAUUUCAUGUUUUUACAGCUAACAACUUAGUAAAACCUACUCAGAGUA
Long non-coding RNA from Leptonychotes weddellii (Weddell seal), 823 nucleotides. RefSeq lists it as uncharacterized. The record is from RefSeq and is a predicted model, not a curated record. NCBI's taxonomy places the organism in Eukaryota, Metazoa, Chordata, Mammalia, Carnivora, Phocidae.